This 328-nucleotide unclassified non-coding RNA is filed under the name Pluteus petasatus. RNAcentral describes it as "partial internal transcribed spacer region". The stretch from base 1 to 46 matches the Rfam family "Eukaryotic small subunit ribosomal RNA", at positions 1786 to 1831 of the family's 1831-position model. Lineage: Eukaryota; Fungi; Basidiomycota; Agaricomycetes; Agaricales; Pluteaceae. The record is from RNAcentral.
AAGUCGUAACAAGGUUUCCGUAGGUGAACCUGCGGAAGGAUCAUUAGUGAAUAAACAAGUGCAGGUUGUGCUGGCCUUCUUGGUAUGUGCACGCCUGCCAAUGUUUCAUUCUAUCUUCCCACCUGUGCACUAUGUGUAGAUCUGUAUGCUAUUGUCAAGUCUUUUACUAAGCUUGGUUGAGAGGAGUUGCUUGUUCCAUUGGACAAGCUCUUCUUGGGUAUGCAGGUCUAUGUUUUAUAUCAACACCAUAUGAAUGUAAUAGAAUGUGCUUUGGGCUUUUUAGCCUUUAAAACAUAUACAACUUUCAACAACGGAUCUCUUGGCUCUC